CCUACGGGAGGUCAGCAGUGGGGAAGUUUUAGGUACAAUGGACGCAAGUCUGAUCCAGCAAUGCCGCGUGCAGGAUGAAGGCCUUCGGGUUGUAAACUGCUUUUGUACGGAACGAAAAGGUCUGCCCUAAUACGGUGGGCCCAUGACGGUACCGUAAGAAUAAGCACCGGCUAACUACGUGCCAGCAGCCGCGGUAAUACGUAGGGUGCAAGCGUUAAUCGGAAUUACUGGGCGUAAAGCGUGCGCAGGCGGUUAUAUAAGACAGAUGUGAAAUCCCCGGGCUCAACCUGGGACCUGCAUUUGUGACUGUAUAGCUAGAGUACGGUAGAGGGGGAUGGAAUUCCGCGUGUAGCAGUGAAAUGCGUAGAUAUGCGGAGGAACACCGAUGGCGAAGGCAAUCCCCUGGACCUGUACUGACGCUCAUGCACGAAAGCGUGGGGAGCAAACAGGAUUAGAUACCCUGGUAGUCCACGCCCUAAACGAUGUCACUGUUGUGNUCUUCUNUNUNUAUAGAGNACGCGUGAGU
RNAcentral lists this ribosomal RNA (526 nucleotides) under uncultured bacterium. Its description in RNAcentral is "bacterial SSU rRNA". It matches the Rfam family "Bacterial small subunit ribosomal RNA", at positions 338 to 852 of the family's 1533-position model. The record is from RNAcentral.